Molecule: long non-coding RNA, 932 nt
Organism: Oreochromis aureus
Lineage: Eukaryota; Metazoa; Chordata; Actinopteri; Cichliformes; Cichlidae
Exons: 3
Source: RefSeq, a predicted model, not a curated record
CCCCUUCAUGCAUUUAUGAAAUUACAAUGUUGCAAGGACAAUAUCAAUUCUGGUUAGCGUUUAUUAAAGGGUUGCGGUUAGGGUUAGGGUCAGGGUCAGGGUCCGUUGAUUGGCGGUCAGAGGCGGUUUCUCACAGUUUAAGUACAGUUUUUUGUUUUACGGCGGUUUUUCCCAAAGUCGCAAAAGUAUGACGUCACAACAUUCUGAUUGGUCACUUGCAAUGUUGAUCCUGGAACAACAUUUAGUAUGAUGAUCUGGGAACAACACCAACAUGACGAUAUCAGAUCGUGCACGUGCAGUGACUCCCAAGCUCAGCUGGUGGCUCCAGCGGAUCCCAGUAAAAACCUCUGUCCAGAAGAGUGCAGUCCUAGGAACAGCUAACAUACUGCACAGGACCCUCAAGCUCCCAGGCUUGUGGAAGAGGACCCAAGCUUGAAGGACAGACCACCCACAGGGGCAAGCAGGGAAUGAAAACUAUAUAUCUUAGAGAGGGAAAAGUUUGUGUGUUUGUCAGCUGUUUGUGUGGAGUUUUUCUUAUUCACCUGUUCACCUCAAAUCAAGUCUUAUUUCUCUUUAGUUCUGAUCUCACUGCUGAGCUGCACAACAAACCAAGCUCGUCUGACUGUGAGUCCCAGCAGCUCUCAGUUCUUUGAAGGAAACUUUGUGUCUCUGAGCUGUGAGGAGGACGACAGCUCUGUUGGAUGGACUCUGAGGAGAAACACAAGCACACGACAGAGGGAUCAGUGUGGAGAUGUGGAGGGAAGGUUGCCUAGUUCUUCCUGUAAUAUCAAUGUUUUUCCAUUGGACAGUGGAGUUUACUGGUGUGAGUCCAGAGAGGGUCCCAUCAGUAACAUGGUUAACCUGACAGUCACUGGUGGAUCAGUGAUCCUGCAGAGUCCUGUCCUCCCUGUGAUGGAGGGAGAUGACGUCAC